This is a long non-coding RNA of Megalobrama amblycephala (Wuchang bream), 625 nucleotides long. RefSeq lists it as uncharacterized. The transcript is spliced from 3 exons. Lineage: Eukaryota; Metazoa; Chordata; Actinopteri; Cypriniformes; Xenocyprididae. The record is from RefSeq and is a predicted model, not a curated record.
UUUGCAUUUUAUCAGUCCAUGCAUUCCCUGGGAAACAAACCCAUGACCUCGGUGUUGCCAUAGCGCCAUGCUACUGUUUGUGCUAGAGGAAUGCUUUUUAGUUUCUAAGGCACAUUACAAAUAGAAAGAAUUUUGAAAGAAUAAAAAAAAAAAAAACAUUAGAAGGCAUCCACUGUCUGGACUUUCCUGUUAGGCCAGAUCCUGCUAAAGAGGAAGUUCUGGAGCGAUGGGAUUGAGGAGCCCAUAGUUUGACACAGAGAUUUUGCCUCAGCGUGUCAGCAUUUCCUUGACCCUCUUUGGCUUAGCUUACCCUCAACUGUCGAGGAACAAAAAUGAGUCACUUCGGCCCUCAAGCCCACACUCUAUCACUUCAAAGGAUGAGCAAACAGGAAAGAGAAAGAGGACGGGGGAGGGCGAGUGAGGGAGAAAGUGAUUUUGAUCUGACAAAAAUGCCGGAAAUAAGACAAUAACAAACGCACAAUAAAAAGCCCUCUACUUUAGUUUCACAAACAAACUCAUUUUUUUUUUUGUGUGGAUGACACGUAAUCUAGAAAACAACUUCUCUGUUUUUACUAAAGCCAAACACUGAAACACAAAUGAAGCUUGUCAGCCUUCACACAUGAAA